AACAAGUACUAAGGAAGCACA
Molecule: microRNA, 21 nt
Filed under: Medicago truncatula (barrel medic)
Lineage: Eukaryota; Viridiplantae; Streptophyta; Magnoliopsida; Fabales; Fabaceae
Description: mtr-miR5557-5p
Source: miRBase by way of RNAcentral